RNAcentral lists this small nuclear RNA (107 nucleotides) under Equus asinus (donkey). The record is from RNAcentral. Lineage: Eukaryota; Metazoa; Chordata; Mammalia; Perissodactyla; Equidae.
GUGCUUGCUUCAGCAGCACAUACACUAAAAUUGGAAUGACAGAGAGAAGAUAAGCAAGGCCCUUGAACAAGGAUGACAGGCAAAUUCAUGAAGCGUCCCAUAUUUUU